RNAcentral lists this ribosomal RNA (915 nucleotides) under uncultured Alkalibacterium sp. RNAcentral describes it as "bacterial SSU rRNA". It matches the Rfam family "Bacterial small subunit ribosomal RNA", at positions 28 to 923 of the family's 1533-position model. Lineage: Bacteria; Bacillati; Bacillota; Bacilli; Lactobacillales; Carnobacteriaceae. The record is from RNAcentral.
GACGAACGCUGGCGGUAUGCCUAAUACAUGCAAGUCGAACGCUGAAACACUCUGCUUGCAGAGUGUGGAUGAGUGGCGAACGGGUGAGUAACACGUGGGGAACCUGCCCAUAAGAGGGGGAUAACAUCCGGAAACGGGUGCUAAUACCGCAUAGGUGAUCAUAGCGCAUGCUUAGAUCAUUAAAGAUGGCUUCGGCUAUCGCUUAUGGAUGGCCCCGCGGCGUAUUAGCUAGUUGGUGAGGUAAUGGCUCACCAAGGCUGUGAUACGUAGCCGACCUGAGAGGGUGAUCGGCCACACUGGAACUGAGACACGGUCCAGACUCCUACGGGAGGCAGCAGUAGGGAAUCUUCCACAAUGGGCGAAAGCCUGAUGGAGCAAUACCGCGUGAGUGAAGAAGGUCUUCGGAUCGUAAAGCUCUGUUGUUAGAGAAGAACAAGAGGUGUAGUAACUGGCACCUCCUUGACGGUAUCUAACCAGAAAGUCACGGCUAACUACGUGCCAGCAGCCGCGGUAAUACGUAGGUGACAAGCGUUGUCCGGAUUUAUUGGGCGUAAAGCGAGCGCAGGCGGUCUUUUAAGUCUGAUGUGAAAGCCCACGGCUCAACCGUGGAGGGUCAUUGGAAACUGGAAGACUUGAAUGCAGAAGAGGAAAGUGGAAUUCCAUGUGUAGCGGUGAAAUGCGUAGAUAUAUGGAGGAACACCAGUGGCGAAGGCGACUUUCUGGUCUGUAAUUGACACUGAGGCUCGAAAGCGUGGGGAGCGAACAGGAUUAGAUACCCUGGUAGUCCACGCCGUAAACGAUGAGUGCUAAGUGUUGGAGGGUUUCCGCCCUUCAGUGCUGGAGCUAACGCAUUAAGCACUCCGCCUGGGGAGUACGGCCGCAAGGCUGAAACUCAAAGGAAUUGACGGGGACCCG